AGUGAACGCUGGCGGUAGGCCUAACACAUGCAAGUCGAACGGCAGCACAGUAAGAGCUUGCUCUUACGGGUGGCGAGUGGCGGACGGGUGAGGAAUACAUCGGAAUCUACUUUUUCGUGGGGGAUAACGUAGGGAAACUUACGCUCAUACCGCAUACGACCUACGGGUGAAAGCAGGGGAUCUUCUGACCUUGCGCGAUUGAAUGAGCCGAUGUGGGAUUAGCUAGUUGGCGGGGUAAAGGCCCACCAAGGCGACGAUCCGUAGCUGGUCUGAGAGGAUGAUCAGCGACACUGGAACUGAGACACGGUCCAGACUCCUACGGGAGGCAGCAGUGGGGAAUAUUGGACAAUGGGCGCAAGCCUGAUCCAGCCAUACCGCGUGGGUGAAGAAGGCCUUCGGGUUGUAAAGCCCUUUUGUUGGGAAAGAAAAGCAGCAGGUUAAUACCCCGCUGUUCUGACGGUACCCAAAGAAUAAGCACCGGCUAACUUCGUG
Molecule: ribosomal RNA, 492 nt
Filed under: uncultured bacterium
Lineage: Bacteria
Description: partial 16S ribosomal RNA
Rfam family: Bacterial small subunit ribosomal RNA
Source: RNAcentral